Molecule: ribosomal RNA, 468 nt
Filed under: uncultured bacterium
Lineage: Bacteria
Description: partial 16S ribosomal RNA
Rfam family: Bacterial small subunit ribosomal RNA
Source: RNAcentral
GACGAACGCUGGCGGCGUGCUUAACACAUGCAAGUCGAACGGAAAGGCCCUGCUUUUGUGGGGGGCUCGAGUGGCGAACGGGUGAGUAACACGUGAGUAACCUGCCCUUGACUUUGGGAUAACUUCAGGAAACUGGGGCUAAUACCGGAUAGGAGCUCCUGCUGCAUGGUGGGGGUUGGAAAGUUUCGGCGGUUGGGGAUGGACUCGGGGCUUAUCAGCUUGUUGGUGGGGUAGUGGCUUACCAAGGCUUUGACGGGUAGCCGGCCUGGGAGGGUGACCGGCCACAUUGGGACUGGGAUACGGCCCAGACUCCUACGGGAGGAAGCAGUGGGGAAUAUGGCACAAUGGGCGGAAGCCUGAUGCAGCAACGCCGCGUGCGGGAUGACGGCCUUCGGGUUGUAAACCGCUUUAGCCUGUGACGAAGCGUGAGUGACGGUAAUGGGUAAAGAAGCACCGGCUAACUACGUG